UCGGUGCCCUAAUGGUUAGAACGUCCGCUUUCGAUGCGCGCGGUCACGGGUUCGAAUCCCGUCGUAUCAU
Molecule: non-coding RNA, 70 nt
Organism: Potamilus streckersoni
Lineage: Eukaryota; Metazoa; Mollusca; Bivalvia; Unionida; Unionidae
Source: the annotation of a GenBank genome assembly